Molecule: small nuclear RNA, 108 nt
Organism: Suncus etruscus (white-toothed pygmy shrew)
Lineage: Eukaryota; Metazoa; Chordata; Mammalia; Eulipotyphla; Soricidae
Source: RefSeq, a predicted model, not a curated record
GUGCUUGCUUCGGCAGCACAUAUACUAAAACUGGAAUGAGACAGAGAAGAUUAGUAUGACCCCCUGUGCAAAGAUGACAUGCAAAUUCGUGAAGCGUUCCAUAUUUUU